UUGGUUUUUCUGAUCACCCCAGUACAACAUGCAGUCAUUUGGGCAACUAUGAAUUUUAUCGUACCCAAGGCCCAAAUCUUUUAUUAGUCUCUUCAUAUCUUGACAAGACUGGGGAAUUUUUGCAAAUGGAAACAUCUCUCUUAGAAACUCUAGCAGCAUUGUAAAAGAGUUUCCGGUCCACCCUCCCAAACAUUUUAAGUGAAAUAGACGAAUGCAGAAGGACAAUUUCGAAUAUUUUGAUCCCUCGUAAAGUUCUUCAUUCAUUUCAUUAAGUAAAUUGUAGAACUUAGCCGCUUCUUC
RNAcentral lists this long non-coding RNA (300 nucleotides) under Gossypium barbadense (sea-island cotton). RNAcentral describes it as "long non-coding RNA (GBAR_LNC011624)". Lineage: Eukaryota; Viridiplantae; Streptophyta; Magnoliopsida; Malvales; Malvaceae. The record is from RNAcentral.